RNAcentral lists this ribosomal RNA (253 nucleotides) under uncultured bacterium. Its description in RNAcentral is "partial 16S ribosomal RNA". It matches the Rfam family "Bacterial small subunit ribosomal RNA", at positions 524 to 776 of the family's 1533-position model. The record is from RNAcentral.
UACGUAGGGUGCAAGCGUUAAUCGGAAUUACUGGGCGUAAAGCGUGCGCAGGCGGUUGUGUAAGACAGAUGUGAAAUCCCCGGGUUCAACCUGGGAACUGCAUUUGUGACUGCACAGCUGGAGUGCGGCAGAGGGGGAUGGAAUUCCGCGUGUAGCAGUGAAAUGCGUAGAUAUGCGGAGGAACACCGGUGGCGAAGGCGGCAUCCUGGACCGGUAUUGACGCUGAGGCGCGAAAGCGUGGGGAGCAAACAGG